CAAUAGCGUAUAUUUAAGUUGUUGCAGUUAAAAAGCUCGUAGUUGGAUUUCGGGUGGGACGCAGCGGUCUCGCAUUGCGUUUGUACUGCUGCAGCCCUCCUUCUUGCCGGGGGCGGCCUCUCGGACUUCACUGUCUGGGGGUCAGAAUCGGCGAUGUUACUUCGAGUAAAUUAGAGUGUUCAAAGCAAGCUUACGCUCUGAAUAUAAUAGCAUGGGAUAACACGACAGGACUCUGGCCUAUCGUGUUGGUCUAUAGGACCAGAGUAAUGAUUAAGAGGGACAGUCGGGGGCAUUCGUAUUCCGUUGUCAGAGGUGAAAUUCUUGGAUUUACGGAAGACGAACAUCUGCGAAAGCAUUUGCCAAGGAUGUUUUCAUUGA
Molecule: ribosomal RNA, 378 nt
Filed under: uncultured eukaryote
Lineage: Eukaryota
Description: partial 18S ribosomal RNA
Rfam family: Eukaryotic small subunit ribosomal RNA
Source: RNAcentral